RNAcentral lists this non-coding RNA (160 nucleotides) under Paracoccaceae bacterium. Its description in RNAcentral is "6S RNA". It matches the Rfam family "6S / SsrS RNA". Rfam says of the family: E. coli 6S RNA was the first non coding RNA to be sequenced, but its function was unknown until recently. It consists of 184 nucleotides that fold into an extended hairpin structure with a large single-stranded internal bulge. Lineage: Bacteria; Pseudomonadati; Pseudomonadota; Alphaproteobacteria; Rhodobacterales; Paracoccaceae. The record is from RNAcentral. RNAcentral also lists the same sequence under 1 other name.
GCGGCUCUACCCUUCUCGUAAUUGGAAACAACAUUCCAGUGGCCUUAAGCAAAUUCGAGGGAACUGGCUCUGAUCGGAUCUUGGUUCGAUUAUCUGGUGCCCACCUGUAAAACCAGGUCCUCGGGAAUUAGCUAUUCCAACGGUUGUUGGUGGUCCCGCU